RNAcentral lists this ribosomal RNA (520 nucleotides) under uncultured Diversispora. RNAcentral's name for it is "bacterial SSU rRNA". It matches the Rfam family "Eukaryotic small subunit ribosomal RNA", at positions 569 to 1086 of the family's 1831-position model. Lineage: Eukaryota; Fungi; Glomeromycota; Glomeromycetes; Diversisporales; Diversisporaceae. The record is from RNAcentral.
AGCAGCCGCGGUAAUUCCAGCUCCAAUAGCGUAUAUUAAAGUUGUUGCAGUUAAAAAGCUCGUAGUUGAAUUUCGGGAUUCGUCCAUUGGUCAGGCUUAACUGUCUGUACUGAUGUGUCGGAUUUCUACCUUCUGAAGAACCUUCAUGCCAUUAAUUUGGUGUGUUGGGGAAUCAGGACUGUUACUUUGAAAAAAUUAGAGUGUUUAAAGCAGGCUAACGUCUGAAUACAUUAGCAUGGAAUAAUGAAAUAGGACGGUACAGUUCUAUUUUGUUGGUUUCUAGGAUCGCCGUAAUGAUUAAUAGGGAUAGUUGGGGGCAUUAGUAUUCAAUUGUCAGAGGUGAAAUUCUUGGAUUUAUUGAAGACUAACUACUGCGAAAGCAUUUGCCAAGGAUGUUUUCAUUAAUCAAGAACGAAAGUUAGGGGAUCGAAGACGAUCAGAUACCGUCGUAGUCUUAACCAUAAACUAUGCCGACUAGGGAUUGGACGAUGUUAAUUUUUUAAAUGUACUCGUUCAGUCA